Alnus glutinosa is the source of this 807-nucleotide long non-coding RNA. RefSeq lists it as uncharacterized. Lineage: Eukaryota; Viridiplantae; Streptophyta; Magnoliopsida; Fagales; Betulaceae. The record is from RefSeq and is a predicted model, not a curated record. The transcript has 2 exons.
CAGGCGCGAGGAAAUCUCUGUUAGCGGUUCUUUUCAGGCUUUGCUGUAAUCGAAAGUAUAUAAAAACAAAAAGAAAACGUUUUUCUACGGGAAUCUUGGGAGCGCAAUUCCCCACCAUUUCGUUGGUUUUCCACAGUCCGAAGUUCCACGUUCGCCGUGUUGUCCGGUUUGGUUUAUCGCACCCCCCACUUCGACGACCCUACAAAUUCAAACAAUCAUUCAUCGUUCAUUAAUAUUAACGCCUCUCUCUCUCUCUCCAAAGUCUUCACAGAGAUUCUUCAUUGCUGUACGGGCAACCAAUUUUGUUCUGAUCAUCGUGCUCUGUUUUGGAGGUUAGAGCCUAGAGGGUAAUACAGCACGUUAUUGCUUCGUCAUCUCUCUCUCUCUCUCUCUCUCUCUCUCUCUCUCUCUCUGUGUGUGGAUGCGUUUUGGAGUUUCAUGGGAUAUGAAGUCUGACUGUAAAAAAAGAAAAAACAGAGAAGCAAAACUUAACUCGGCUUGGCUUGUGAUGUCGGCAGGAUGAGGGUCUCUGAAAAUGUUUACACAAUUCAGAAUUUGUUUCCAUGUCUCAUUUUCGCUAUUUGAUCAUUACAACUCUAGCCACUGUUCAUGAAAAAAGGGCAAGGACUUUUUCGAUUUGCAGAUGAACAUGGCAAUUGGCAAACAAGCGCAUAUUUGUGAAAUGUGUUGAAUUCUCCCUUUCACUGUUUAUUUAGGGCUCUUUACCCUUUUGAGUUUUCUGUAUGUAGAAUGUGAGCCUUUGUAUCUAUGAUCAUAUGUGUAUAUACUGAUCGCAUUGUUGUGCAA